RNAcentral lists this ribosomal RNA (527 nucleotides) under uncultured Cytophagales bacterium. RNAcentral's name for it is "bacterial SSU rRNA". It matches the Rfam family "Bacterial small subunit ribosomal RNA", at positions 910 to 1438 of the family's 1533-position model. The record is from RNAcentral. Lineage: Bacteria; Pseudomonadati; Bacteroidota; Sphingobacteriia; Sphingobacteriales.
UUGACCGGGGGCCCGCACAAGCGGAGGAACAUGUGGUUUAAUUCGAUGAUACGCGAGGAACCUUACAUGGACUUAAAUGUAGAUUGACAGGACUAGAGAUAGUCUUUUCUUCGGACAAUUUACAAGGUGCUGCAUGGUUGUCGUCAGCUCGUGCCGUGAGGUGUCGGGUUAAGUCCCAUAACGAGCGCAACCCCUAUCUUUAGUUACCAGCACGUAAUGGUGGAGACUCUAAAGAGACUGCCUGGGUAACCAGAGAGGAAGGUGGGGAUGACGUCAAAUCAGCACGGCCCUUACGUCCAGGGCUACACACGUGUUACAAUGGUCGGUACAAAGGGCAGCUACCUAGCGAUAGGAUGCUAAUCUCUAAAACCGGUCUCAGUUCGGAUCGGAGUCUGCAACUCGACUCCGUGAAGCUGGAUUCGCUAGUAAUCGCAUAUCAGCCAUGAUGCGGUGAAUACGUUCCCGGGCCUUGUACACACCGCCCGUCAAACCAUGGAAGUUGGGGGUACCUGAAGUCUGUUACCGCA